CCGUGCUGCUUGGGAGCGCGCCCCGGGGCUCCGCCCUGACUCCUGUAGCGGGCUGGCUCUGCAUCCUGAGGCCGGAGCUGGCGGGUCCUGGACGGGAAAGGAAGACCCAGAGCUGUCACCACUUAGAAGGGACAACAUAACGAAGUUCAUCUUAUUACCAGUGGCUCUUAUAUGUUUGUGAGAAAAAAAUGUAACUGGAUUUCUGAUUCAUGGAACUUCAAAGAAAACAGAAGAUGGAUUUCAGGAUUUACAAAAGGAACAAGUUUAGGAAGUUCUGAAGAUUGAAAUUUUGUGAACUCAUAAAAUAGGUGGAAGAAUAAAGACGCCAUCUGAGGACUGGAAACUGUAUAAAACCUACCAUCACUGAUUCAAAGUUCAAGCUCGCAGUCUACAUGGACUGAAAAACUAGAAGCCAAGAAUUAACACAAAGUUGGCCCAGACAACCUGUUUGAAAUGUGGUGGUUUCAGCAAGGCCUCAGUUUCCUGCCAUCAGUACUUGUAAUUUGGACAUUUGCUACCUUCGUAUUCUCAUACAUCACUGCAAUAACACUCCACCAUGUUGAUCCUGCAUUGCCCUAUAUCAGUGACACUGGUACAGUAGCUCCAGAAAGAUGCCUCUUUGGAGUAAUGCUAAAUAUUGCUGCAGUUUUAGGUCUUGCUACCAUGUAUGUUCGUUACAAACAAGUUCAAGCAUUGAAUCCUGAAGAGAACCUUAUCAUCAAAUUCAACAAAGCUGGCCUUGUACUCGGGAUACUGAGUUGUUUAGGACUUUCUCUUGUGGCAAAUUUCCAGAAAUCAACACUAUUUGUUGCACAUGUAUGUGGAAGUGUGCUUGCCUUUGGUAUGGGUUCAUUAUACAUGUUUGUUCAGACCAUCCUUUCCUACCAAAUGCAACCUAAAAUUCACAGCAAACAAGUCUUCUGGGUCAGACUGCUGCUGGUUAUCUGGUGUGGAGUAAGUGCACUUAGCAUGCUGACUUGCUCAUCAGUUUUGUACAGUAGUGAUUUUGGUGCUGAUGUAGUACAGAAACUACACUGGAACCCCGAGGACAAAGGUUAUGUGCUUCAUAUGGUCACUACUGCAGCAGAAUGGUCUAUGUCAUUUUCCUUCUUCGGAUUUUUCCUGACUUAUAUUCGUGAUUUUCAGGCUUGCCGCAAAGUGAAAGGUCAGAAAAUAUUGGCUUAUCCAGUGGUCACUGUCCUUAAAGAAGACAGGCAGAUACAAGACACAGAAAAGAAGGUCAUGUGAAGACGGAGGCAGGAAUGGGAACUAGCCAAGGAGUGCCUAGUUGCAGGCAGCCAGAUGGAAAUGAGAGGCUAUGCAUUCAUUCUGGGUUAAUAAAAAUCAGGUUUGAUCAAGGAAGAUCCCCUGAAAAAUCUCCAGUGGGAGCAGAUGGCACAGAUGAUCCCAUGUUUCCGAGUGCCUCUGUUGCAGCUUCUUCUGAGUUCUACAUCCAGAAUGGCUUCAAGGUGUCUGACUGAGAUGAGCCAGCCUCACAGAAUUCUCAAGCCAGGACUUGACCAUAAACCUGAAUUUUCUCAGGGUCCCACAAAGAUUUAUCAGUGCCUCCAGUCAAAAAGAAAUAGUCUAGAGAACUAUGCUCACAUUCUCAAAAGAUGGAUGAUGGAUAUUUAUUAUCAUUUAAGAGGGGUUGGGUAUGAGUUGUUAUUGGUAGUGGUCAAGAAAAAAGCUGAAUAAAGGCAAUUAGAUUCAGUGAUCUCAUUAUAAAAAGAAAAGGGGCAUAUAGAAAUGUGAUAAUGUAAGUCAGAAUAGAAAGUGAUUUAGGUACAACACUUUGGACUCACCAAGAUAUGAUAGACAAUGGAGUAUUUUUUCUGAAAUUGUCCAAUGCUGAUGGACUAUAUAUUGCUAAUGUAAUUAUUGCCUUGUACAUUUAUAUAUAGUUAUUGUACUUACUGUAUAUAGUUUUUCUAUGUUAGUUAAAACCUUUGCUUUUUAUUUAAACAAAAAGGGGGAAAUUGUAUGAUAUAUUGUGUUUCUGACAAAUAAAGCUUGCCUGGAGAUCAGAGGGCAGAGCUAGCCACCAGUUAACCAUAGAGUUAGGUGGUAAUGGCUCAUGCUUUUAAUCCCAGCACUUGGGAGGCUCAUGUCUUUAAUCCCAGCACAAUCUGGAAGUGAAGACAGGAAUAUAAGGUAGAAGGAGACAGGAUCUCAGGCCCCUGCCUUUUGGUCUGAGGAUUUGCAGAGGUAAGAAGUGACUGUGGCUGCUCAUUUGCUUCUCUGAUCUUUCAGUUUUUACCCCAAUAUCUAAUUCCUGGUUUUUAUGGAUAAGACUAAUUAGGAUCAUGCUUUAAAAAGUACAGUGGAGCUGAGUCCUGUGUUCAAGACAAUAAACAGAUUAAAGAAAAUCCUGAUGUUGAAUGGAAUAAAGGGAAUGUUGACCUCAGGGCUAGGCUUCCAACAUGUGAAGGAAUUAAAAAAGAGCUUAUAUCUGUGUGUUGUGGUGGAUGCCUUUUUAUCCCAACAUUUCAGAGACAGAGGCAGAUGGAUCUCUGAGUUUGAGGUCAGCCUGGUCUACAAUGUUUGGCUGGAACCUCCAGCUCACUCCUGCUUGACCUGGAAAGUUCCAUUUCUCACUCUCCAAACCCCACCCUCCCAGAGAAUCUCCAACAACAAAAAAAAAGGUGUCAAAUGUCCAGUUCCACAUUCUUGGUGGCUGCAGAAGUUCCUUGCCUGAAGUUGCCAGUAGCCCAAGACCCUGCCUGAAGCAGUCAGCUUUUGACCAUUCUUGGGCACAAACCUGGCUUGUAGAGAACAUGUCAUAACCCCUCACCUACUGGGCAUACAAGCUUCCUGCUUUAGUUUGGUCAUGUGACUUCUCCAGCCUCUGAUAUCUGGGGCUAGAGGACUCACUGGGGGUUUCUUUGUUCAAAUAAACCUGUUCUUUUACUUUUUCAAUUCAGCUUGAUCUGGCUUCCUGCAUCAUCAGAGAAACCUAUUAUCAGGCUACAGAAAAUCUAUUAUCUUGGUGCUAAAACCCUGGGAGGUUGAGCCUUUCUGCUGGGUGGACCAGGUCCCCCAACCAUGUGAGGGGUCACUCCUCUCCCUUUUUCUUCCUCUCUGCCAGACAUGAUCGACUUUUGACUUGGUUUAAUUCACCCAUUUCUAAACCACUACCUACAGAAGUACCGGGUAACUCUUCUGGGUCAAGAUCUCUUUUGGGUCAAAGAUCCAGAAGAUCCCCUGCCAAGCCACAGCCACACCAGAGGAAGCCCAAUCCAUUUCCAUAGAAAAGAAAGUCUGUUCUGGAGGACCUUUGUGUUAAGGAGAUGUCCUUCCCAAAGGCUACCCCCACCCCUACCGAUAGACCCCAGGCUAUCACAGGGGACACCUCGCCCUAGUCUUCAGUCUCCAGCACAGGCUUGGAAAAGGACAACACCAGGUCUAAACCCAAUCCUCAGUCACCUCUGUGGCGUCUGCUGAAAAGUUUAUCCAAAUUGGGGCUGUCUGACAUCAUAUGUCCAAAAUACUUGGUUUUCUUUUGUUCUGUCUGUGGCCUGGGCUCAAUACACACUUGAUAAUCAGUCAAGAUGGCCACCACGGGGAACUCUUGACUUUAACAUCCUCUGUGAUCUUGAGACUUUUUGCCACAUACAGACAAGUGGUCUGAACUUCCUUAUAUCCAGGGUUUGGGGGUUCUGAAUUCCUGCUCCAGUGCUUACUGCUUAGUUCAGGACGACUGACUCAUUAAUGAGGCAGUUAUUCUGACCCACCCAGUGGUCACCAACCCUUACACCCUUCUCUUUAAUAUUCCACCUACAACUUUCCACUAUGCUCUGCUACAUGGCUUGGGACCUUUUCUCAGGACAAUAAGUUCAUCUCUUUCUCUCCAUGUAUCUUUGUGAUUCUGAUACUCUCCUCUUCAUGUUCUGUUUUUUCUGCAACUUCUGCCUAGCCUCCACCUGUCCAGCUAUUGGCCAGGGUGCUUCUUUAUUAACCCACUAACAAUGACACAUAUUCACACAGUGUAAAGGAAUAUUCCAUAAUGGAGACUUUUGAAGUUGGACUGAGUGCAUUUUUGCAUUAUGAUAUGGCUUAAAGCCUUUGGUGGCCAGGGAGUGGAGUGUAGUGAUUGGAAAGAAACCCCAAAGAGAGUGACACUAUUAGGAGGUAUGGCUUUGUUGGAGUAGGUGUGGCCUUGUGGAGGAAGUGUGUCACUGUGGGGGUGGGUUUUGAAGACUCUUUGCUCAAGCUACUCACAGAAACACAGUCCACUUCCUGCUGCCUUCUGAUCAAUGUAGCCAGCACUAUGUCUGCCUGCAUGCUGCUAUGCUCCACACCAUGAUGAUAAUGGCCUGAACUUCUGAACCGUAAGUGAGCCACCUCAAUUAAAUGUUUUCCUUUAUAAGAGUUGUUGUGGUCAUGUUGUCUCUUCACAGCAAUAGAAACCCUAACUAAGACAGAAGUUGGUACAAGGGACUGGGGUAAUGCUGUGAUAGGCCUGGCCAUUUUUUUGUUUGUAGGAAUUUAGACUUUGGUACUUUGGGUUAUGAAAGCAGUGGAAUGCUUUAAGCACUGCUUAGUGGGCUGUACUGGUAGGAGCAUGGAAGACAGCAGUGCAAAGAUUUGUUUGAACUGUUGGGUCUUAACACAAGAGUUUUCAGAGAAGAAUUUUAGUACAUUGCCUAGAAAUCAUUAUUGUGAUAUUUUGUUGAAGAAAGUGGCUGCCUUUUGAACUUGUCUGAAGAGUCUGCCUAAGGCUAAAAUGAAUUGUUUUUGGAUUACUGCCUGAUGCUAAAGUGAAGAGUUUUGGAUUAAUUCCAUUAGCAGAAGAAAUCUCAAAACAGCCUAGUAUAGACUCUGCCAUGAGGUUAUUAGUGGUAACUAAUGAAAAUUUAUAAUGAAAAGGAGCAAACUGAGCAGGAUAAAUUACAUAAUGGAAAAUUUGAGGAGAAAAGGAGUACCAGGAAGUGAAAUGGAGCUAAAUCCUGUGUUCAAGGAGAAAAACAGCUUACAAAUGGAAUAAAGGGAGUGGUGAGCUCAGGGGAAGAUCUUACCCAGCUACAUUUCCAACUUAUGAAGAAGGAAUUAAAGAAAAGCUUAGAGCAGGAUGUGGUGGUGCAUGCCUUUAAUGCCAGCAUUUGGCAGCUCUGAAUUUGAGGCCAGCCUGUUCUACUGAGCAAGUUUCUGGACAGUCAAGUAUACUCAGUGAAAGAGAGAAAGGUGCUGUAGAUGUAAUUGAGUGAGGAGGUCAUGUCCCACUCUCAGUAAGCAGCAGAAGUUGGCAGCUUUGACCAUGUGUUUCUGAGUUUAGAGUUAAGGAUAGAAGAAAAGAGUUAUGGAAUAAAGCCACUGAGGCCAGGCAUGUGUCAGGAGUGUCCCUGAGUGGAGGUCAAGUAGAGAUGCCAUUGUGUGAAGCUGUGAUGUUGAAAUUUGGAUAGCCUUGGAGACUCCAAGAUGUUACAGAUCCUAGAAUAAUGGGAUACCUGCCAAGGAGAGCUACUAACAGGAAGUGGAACCAUCCCAAGAGAAAGAAGUUUGUUGCAGCCAACAAAGCUGAACUGAGUUGGAGAUCUGAAGAGUGUUCCAACAUGAAACAUGAGUGUUAGGAUACUGUCCCCAUUCCAGCUGCAUGACCGCACAUUCACAGUUCAGGAGCUAAGCAAAGGGCCUUGAGUCUUACAUCAUAAGUGUGCACUGGUGAUUAUGUAUGCACGGUGUGGUCACGAUAUCUGCACAUGUGUGGCAUAGCUCUGUAAGCCACCUUCAAGAGCCAGACACAGAACCCUCCCCUCUGUUCUGUUCUCUCUUCCCCCACCAUCUUUCUCUCUCUCUCUGCAUAUGCUCCUUCCCCAGGCCUGGUUCUCCAGCACCGCCUAUCAUUCUUACAAUGGUGCUGUGAUGAGACAGACUCUUCCAAUGAUCUGGGGCUCGGCAUCCGGAAACCUAUACCUCGGUUCAUUGGGCCUGCGACUGCCCACUCCGCUUUUUUCAUUUGCCCAACCGCUGGACUCGCAAACCACACCCACUAACCAGAUUGGUGAGUUUUUCCCUUUCUGAUUCCCUGCCAUUUCCUGAGACUGUAGGCUAAGCUAUAUUCUUCGCACCAGACCCCCAGGGGGUCCUUGGCUGCAUAAUCACAAAUCAUUCUCUCUUGACAAAUUAUUGAAUGAUGUCUAGAUUCCUGGUGUGUGUGGGGUCCUCCAGUAUGUACGCCCAGUCCUUGCCCUUCUCAUGAUGAUGAUUGGGUUAUCUGUGCUGUUAUGCCAGUCCACAGACUACGCAUUCACAAGGACAUUUGAAAUAGGAGCCUGGGGAUCCCAUUUGUUAUUUUUAUUUUUAUUUUUUUUCCCUCUGGGACUGCAGUCAUGGGACAUGGGCUCCUCGCUGUUCCACUACUCCCCUGAAAUUUGGCUACAUAAUGACUGCUUCAACCCUGAUAUUUCACAGGAAUUAUCUAACUUCUGCCAGCAAAGGGGCAAAUGAAAAGAAUUACCUGAUCCCCAUGCUUUUACCUAAGCUCUAAACCCUCUCUUUCUGAUUCUCUCUCUCCUGACCAUGUGCAUUCCCGAACCUAAGGAAUCUCUGACUUCAAAGAACCUUAUCUUAUCUGCUCUUGGCUCUGUGCUCUCUUCUACAGUACUGGGCAGGACAGGUCUGAAAGCAGGCUAGGAUGCAUGCAAAUAAGUUUACGAUUAGGACCCACAUGGGGAUCACAGUAAUCAGGAUGGCACUUUAGCCAGAGAUCAGUUUACAACCUGCCUCCUGGCUGGUCUUUCUAAAGCUGUCCUCGUCAGCAAAUUAUCAAAAAAAAAAAAAUCAAGACAUGGAAUAAAAUCCAUCUCUUGUCUCCCAAACCUCCCCAACAAAAGGGCUAAAACUUAAGCAUCUGGCCGGGUGGUGGUGGCGCACACCUUUAAUCCCAGCACUCCGGAGGCAGAGCCAGGUGGAUCUCUGUGAGUUCGAGGCCAGCCUGGUCUACCAAGUGAGUCCCAGGAAAGGCGCAAAGCUACACAGAGAAACCCUGUCUAGAAAAACCAAAAAACAAAACAAAAAAAAAAAAAAAAAACUUAAGCAUCUGGAGAGCAAAGCUCCUCACCCCACAGGUGGAAGUUUCAGCUGUGGCAUUUAAGGUGCGUCAUGGGAGAAAUGAGAAAGCCUGAGAACAGAAUUGCCAAAUGCUGGCACACACUAUCCAACCAGCUCCUGAAAACUGCCAGGUCCCUGUUUUAAGUCCGGGAAAGAAGGUCAUGAGGGCUAAUGUGUGCCCUACCAGGCCAUCAAGUGAGCCUUGUUCAAAGUGCCACCUAGAGAGUUAAGUGGUCAGCUGACUGCCUCCAUGCACCCAGGGGCAUGGGAGCAUCAAACAAAGACCUCUAGCAGACCUCCUAGGCUUGGCCACAGGCUCACAGGGAACCCUGAAUGCAGCUUCCUUCUGGACACUGGAGCCACUUACUAAGUCCUGAGAGAGUUUUGGGGUCCCAGCUCUCCUUGUUUCCCUAUUGUUGGGGUAGGGAGACAGCCUUACCCACCUCACCAGACUUAACUGUACUUUCAGGGUUGCUUAAUAGGAAAAGAUUUUUCAUUUCAUUCGUUCCCUCCAUGUGCCUCACUCCAGACCUGUCAGAAGUGCUUCUCCUCAUGCACAGUGACACAGACAGGGCCCUGCUCUCUGCCUUGUCCCCAAUUCCAGAAGAAUGAGGUCUCAUCCUACAAGCUUUCUCUUCCCAGUUCCCUCAUCCAAUUAAUUACUCAGCUAAUUGUUAUAGGAUCAUCAUAGAGCCAGAAUUCAAGGACCAUCAAAUAUAUACCCAGAUAGUAAAGGAACAGUAACAGUUAAAAGGUAUUUACACCCCCAGACCCAAAAGUGUCUGGGCUCUGCAAAAACAGACUUUAAUAUAACAAUCUAUUACUGUCAGUUGCUCUCAACAAUUGAUUGCCUGUGUCUCUUGAGUGCUAAACUAGUAAAGGCAACAGGUGCCUUAAAAUAAUGUCUCUGAUAAAGCUUAUCUCAGGUUAAAAUAUUAAAACCUUGUUCCAAUCUCUCUCUCUCUCUCUCUCUCUCUCUCUCUCUCUCUCUCUCUCUCUCUCUCUCUCUCUCUCUCUCUCUCAUUAACACUAACCAAUACAAGUAGAGUACCAAACACUACAAUGGUCACCAGCCCAAGACUUUAAUUUUCUCAUUGCUGCUUCUUUUUUCCCUAAGCUCCAGGAACCAGCUUAAGCCCAUUCAACAGGUCAGAUCUACUUCAGAUAAGUGUCAAACCCAAACUUUCCUGGUCUGGGGACCCCCCAAAGAAAAAAGUAAAAAUAAUAGUAAUGAUUCUUUUUUUCUCUGUCUUACCAAUAUCCUGUCAGACACAAAAGCAACCAGAAUGCUAAGCCAAGAAAGAUGAACAGCUCCAAGGCAGCAGACAACAGCCCACCAUCCCAGGACACCUGUCUACCUCAGAAUCCCCCUUCCCUACCACCCAAGAGCCAACCAAUGCCCACCAAGUCAACUGGAAGCAAUUUUUUUCUGGGAGAAAUGCCACCCCUAUUCCUGUUCACUUGCUUUUUUAUAAUAAGCAAAAACUCUGGAAUGUUAGAAUUCUACCCUCACUCCAGCUGCAUGACUGCACAUGCACAGUUCAGGAGUUAAGCAAAUGGUCUUGCAUCUUUCAUCAUCAGUACGGGCUAGUGAUUAUGUACAUAUGUGCAGUGUGGUCACACAAUCUGCGCAUAUGUGGUGUAGCUCCAUAAGCUCACAUGCACCUUAAAAGAGCCAUGACUCAGACCUCACCCUCUCUCUCUCUCUUUCUGUUCUGUUCUCUCUUCCCCCACCAUCUUUCUCUCUCUCUGCAUGUGCUCCUUCCCCAAGCCUGGUUCUCUUGUCCUCCCCCACCCCUCUUAAUAAAGCUUUGAUACUGAUACUGGGGAACUCGUGGCCGUGACCUUUCUGUGUGGUAAACAGUGGUUGAAGAUUGAGAGUUUGGAGUUUGACCAGCUGGUUUUAAGUCUUGCUUUGGUCCAGUGCUGUGGGAUGUUCUGUAUGGCAAAUGUGUUGCUGAUUGGUCAAUAAAUAAAACAUUGAUUGGCCAUUGGCUAGGCAGGAAUUAUAGGCGGGACAAGGAGGAGAAUAGAGCUGGGAAGUGGAAGACUGAGUCAGAGACACUGCCAGCCGCCACGAUGAGAAACAACAUGUGAAGAUGCUGGUAAGCAACGAGCCAUGUGACAAGGUAUAGAUUUAUAGAAAUGGAUUAAUUUAAGCUGUAAAAACAGUUAGCAAGAAGCCUGCCACAGCCAUACAGUUUGUAACCAAUAUAAGUCUCUAUGUUUACUUGAUCGAGUCUGAGUGGCUGUGGGACUGGCAGGUGAGAGAGAUUUGUCCUGACUGUGGGCCAGACAGAAAAACUCUAGCUACAGUCCAGUAUUUCCUCAUUAUGCUCCUUUUCUUGCAUUUUGGAAUGGUAAUGUAUAUCCUGUGCUAUUGCAUGUUGGAUGUAUGUGAUCUCUUUUUUUAUUUUGAUUUUACAGGGGAUUACAUUUAAGAGUUGCCUGAAUCUCAGAAGAGACUUUGAACUUUGGACAUGUAAACAUUGUUGAGACUGUUAUAGACUAUGAGUACUUUUAAAAUUGAGCUAUAUGCAUUUUGCAUUGAUAUUAUUACAAACUUAUGGGGGCCAGGGAGUGGAAUGUGGUAGUUUAAAUGUAACUGGCCCCCAUAAUCUAAUAGGGAGUGGCAUUACUAGGAGGUGUGGCUUUGUUGGAGUGGAUAUGGCCUUAUUGGAGGAAGUGUGUCACUGUGGCAGAAGGCUUUGAGUUUCCUAUCCUUAGGAUACUGCCCAGUGACUCAGUCAUCUUCCUGUUGCCUGCAGAAUGUAGUACUCUCAGCUACCUCUCCAGUAUCAUGUCUGUGUGCAUGCUGCCGUGCUCCCAGUUAUGAUGACUGAACCUUAGAAAUUGUAAGCAAGCCACUCCAUUAAAUGUUUUCCUUUAUAAGAGUUGCCAUGGUCAUGGUGUCUCUUCAGAAUAAUAAAAAUCCUAAGAUAUCUUGCUAUUUUUGUUUUUUAUAUAUUUUUUGUAUUAAUCCUCUAUUGGAUGUAUAAUGGGUAAAGAUCUUUUCCCAGUGUGUAGUCUGCCACUACAUCCAGAUGAUUGUUUCCUUUGCCAUACAGAAACAUUCAACUUCAUGAGGUCUGAUUUAUUGAUUGUUGGUCUUAGCGCCUAUGCUAUUGGUGUCCUGUUCAGAAAGUCUUUUACUGUGCCAUGAGUUCAAGCCUAUUACUCACUUUCUCUUUUAUCAGGUUCAGGGUAUUUGGCCAAAUUUUAAGGUACUUGACCCACUUUAAGUUGAUGUUCAUGCUGCAUAAUACAUAUAAGUCUAUUUCUAUCCUUCUACAUGUGGCCAAUUAGUUUGACCAACACUACUCAUUAAAGAUACUGUCUUUUAACUCAGUGUGUAUUUCUGUUUUCUUUGUAAAAAAAAAAAAUAAACCAGAUAUCUACAGGUGUGUGGACUUAUGUCUUGGAUUCAAUUUUAUUCCAUUGAUCAAUGUGUCUGUUUUUAAUGAUAAUACCAUGCUGUUUUAAUUAGUAUAGCUCUGUCAUAAACAAGAUCAGGGAUGAUGGUAGUUCUAGCAGUUCUUUUAUUAUUUAGGAUUGUUUUAGCUAUCUCAGUUUUUUGUGAAACUUGUUCUUUUAAUUUUUUUGUGAAGAAUUGUGUUGGAAUUUUGAUAGUGACUGCAUUGAAUGUGUACAUUACUUUUGACAGAACAUCCAUUUUUUCUAUGUUAAUCCUACCAAUCCAUGAGCAUGGGAGAUAUUUCUGUCUUCUAAUAUCUUCUUCAAUUUUUUGCUCUCAUGCCUUAAGUUUUUAUUACAUAAGUCGUUCAGUUGCUUGGUUAGUGUUACCCAAAGAUAUUUUAUUUUAUUGUCUUGAGGGUACUCUGAAAGAUGGUUUUUCUGAUUUUUUCCCUCAGUCAUUUGUCAUUUGUAUCUAAGAAGGCUACUGAUUUUUGAGUAGUAAUUUUGUAUUCUGCUACUUUGCUUAAAGUGGUUAUCAGCAGUGGAAGUUUCCUGCUGGAGUUUUUAAGGUCCUUAAUUUAAACACUUGUAUCAUAUACAAAUAAAGAUAUGGUGAUAUGUUA
RNA transcript from Peromyscus californicus insignis, 11090 nucleotides. It is a transcript of the gene named DNA damage regulated autophagy modulator 2, with no coding region annotated. NCBI's taxonomy places the organism in Eukaryota, Metazoa, Chordata, Mammalia, Rodentia, Cricetidae. The transcript is spliced from 13 exons. The record is from RefSeq and is a predicted model, not a curated record.